This 62-nucleotide transfer RNA is filed under the name Rhodocyclales bacterium. RNAcentral's name for it is "tRNA-OTHER". It matches the Rfam family "tRNA", at positions 5 to 66 of the family's 71-position model. From Rfam's summary of the family: Transfer RNA (tRNA) molecules are approximately 80 nucleotides in length. Their secondary structure includes four short double-helical elements and three loops (D, anti-codon, and T loops). The record is from RNAcentral. Lineage: Bacteria; Pseudomonadati; Pseudomonadota; Betaproteobacteria; Rhodocyclales.
GGAUAGCUCAAUGGGUAGAGCGGUUGCAUAUGCAACGUGUUGCGGGUUCGAGUCCCGCUCCA